Molecule: transfer RNA, 60 nt
Filed under: Dipodomys ordii (Ord's kangaroo rat)
Lineage: Eukaryota; Metazoa; Chordata; Mammalia; Rodentia; Heteromyidae
Rfam family: tRNA
About the family: Transfer RNA (tRNA) molecules are approximately 80 nucleotides in length.
Source: Rfam by way of RNAcentral
GUGGCUUAGUGGUAGAGUGCUUGCCUCACAUGCAUGAGGACCUGGGUUCAAUUCCUCAGC